GAGUUUGAUCUUGGCUCAGAUUGAACGCUGGCGGCAUGCCUUACACAUGCAAGUCGAACGGCAGCACGGGAGCUUGCUCCUGGUGGCGAGUGGCGAACGGGUGAGUAAUGCAUCGGAACGUAUCCUGGAGUGGGGGAUAACGUAGCGAAAGUUACGCUAAUACCGCAUAUUCUGUGAGCAGGAAAGCGGGGGACCUUCGGGCCUCGCGCUCUUGGAGCGGCCGAUGUCGGAUUAGCUAGUUGGUGAGGUAGAGGCUCACCAAGGCGACGAUCCGUAGCAGGUCUGAGAGGAUGAUCUGCCACACUGGAACUGAGACACGGUCCAGACUCCUACGGGAGGCAGCAGUGGGGAAUUUUGGACAAUGGGGCAACCCUGAUCCAGCCAUGCCGCGUGAGUGAAGAAGGCC
Molecule: ribosomal RNA, 406 nt
Filed under: bacterium enrichment culture clone ALO1_GLFRUDD03GC27D
Lineage: Bacteria
Description: bacterial SSU rRNA
Rfam family: Bacterial small subunit ribosomal RNA
Source: RNAcentral